RNAcentral lists this long non-coding RNA (542 nucleotides) under Pan troglodytes (chimpanzee). RNAcentral describes it as "long non-coding RNA NONPTRT009408". Lineage: Eukaryota; Metazoa; Chordata; Mammalia; Primates; Hominidae. The record is from RNAcentral.
CACCACACACAUACCACACUACACACUACACACCACACACUACACACAUACCACACUACACAGUACACACCACACACUACACACACCACACUACACACUACACACCACACACACUACACACCACACACACCACACACUACACACGCACCACACUACACACUACACACCACACACUACACAUACACCACACUACACACUGCAGACACACCACACUACACACUACACACAACUACAUACACACACCACACAGUACAUACCACAUACCACACCCUACACACAAACACACACUACACACUACAUGCUAUGCACACACACCACUCACUGCACAGACUACACACUAGAAACAUCACACACUACACACCACACCACACACCACACACUCCACACCACACACCACACACUGCAGACACCACACACACCACACAGCAGACACCGCCCACACCACACACACACUCCACACACACACUCCACACACCCUCCUACCCCCGACACACUCACAGUGCCCCUGUUGGACCUGUGCUCACUGUGAACCCUGAGUCGCG